This is a long non-coding RNA of Homo sapiens (human), 1437 nucleotides long. Ensembl annotates it as PMS1 homolog 2, mismatch repair system component pseudogene 4. Its record names the gene PMS2P4. The record is from Ensembl. NCBI's taxonomy places the organism in Eukaryota, Metazoa, Chordata, Mammalia, Primates, Hominidae.
GUGGAGGGAACUUUCCCAGGCCCCGAGGCGGAUCGGGUAUUGAGUCCAUGGAGCGAGCUGAGAGCUAGAGUACAGAACCUGCUAAGGCCAUCAAACCUAUCGAUCGGAAGUCAGUCCAUCAGAUUUGCUCUGGGCCGGUGGUACUGAGUCUAAGCACUGCGGUGAAGGAGUUAGUAGAAAACAGUCUGGAUGCUGGUGCCACCAAUAUUGAUCUAAAGCUUAAGGACUAUGGAGUGGAUCUCAUUGAAGUUUCAGACAAUGGAUGUGGGGUAGAAGAAGAAAACUUUGAAGGCUUAACGAUGUCACCAUUUCUACCUGCCACGCAUCGGCGAAGGUUGGGACUCGACUGGUGUUUGAUCACGAUGGGAAAAUCAUCCAGAAAACCCCCUACCCCCACCCCAGAGGGACCACAGUCAGCGUGAAGCAGUUAUUUUCUACACUACCUGUGCACCAUAAGGAAUUUCAAAGGAAUAUUAAGAAGACGUGCCUGUUUCCCCUUCGCCUUCUGCCGUGAUUGUCAGUUUCCUGAGGCCUCCCCAGCCAUGCUUCCUGUACAGCCUGCAGAACUACUGUGAUGCCUGGAGCUGCAGCAGUGAUCUUGAGAUGAUGAGGCAAUAGCUGUGGUGGUCAUCUUGAGACCGUGAGGCAACAGCUGUGGCAGCCAUCUUGAGACCAUGAGGCAACAGCCUGGAGACAAAAGCCAACAUGUUCAAAAUGAUGCAGUAGAAAUGUUGGAAGUGGGUCUUUGAUUAUUCAUCCUUAGAUUCAAGGCCCCUCCAGACAUGUCCAUCUGCCUGCUGUGUUGACUUUUCCCUUUGGAGUCUUGAGGCAGCUACAAGCUUACUGACCAGAAAUGAACUCAAGCUCUCCCCGAAGCCUGGUCCUCUUCCAGGAUCAGCCAGCCUGGAAGAUGGCACUGUCAUCCACCCUGUUCUCAGGCCUGCCACCCAGGAGUCAACCUUAGCCCCAUCUAAUUGUCAGAGGCAUCUGAACCACAGCAACUCCAUCUUGAGUAGGGGAUGGGUAAAAUGAGGCUGAGACCUGCUGGGCUGCAUUCCCAGACAGCCAAGGCAUUAGCCACAGGAUAAGAUAGGCGGUCGGUACAAGACACAGGUCAUAAAGACCUUGCUGAUAAAACAGUUGGCAGUAAAGAAGCCAGCCAAAACCCACUAAAACCAAGAUGGCAACGAGAGUGACCUCUGGUCGUCCUCACUGCUACCCUCCCACCAGCACCAUGACAGUUUACAAAUGCCAUGGCAAUGUCAGAAAGUUACCCUAUAGGGUCUAAAAAGGGGAGGCAUGAAUAAUCUACCCCUUGUUUAGCAUAUCAUCAAGAAAUAACCAUAAAAAUAGGCAACCAGCAGCCCUCAGGGAUGCUCUGUCUAUGGAGUAGCCAUUCUUUUGUUCCUUUACUCUCUUAAUAAACUUGUUUUCACU